CUGAGACAUGUUUCCCCAAUUUCACGUGCUGCUUCCUGUCAGGCAGGAAGUCAGUGAUCCACUUGCAGGUGGAGUCGGGCACGUGCAGCACGGAGAGCUUGUCCUGCAGAAGAGACGGCAAACUAACGGCAACGUGCUGAUAUUAGAGACAAAGCAAACACAUCGCAGGCUGUAAAUUCACGGCGAUGAUGAUUCAGCAGGUUGGGUCGUAACUGUCACAACGCCACAAUACUUUCCUGCGGGCCUCAAUCAACGUAUUCCCGAAAGACCAGCAGCAACAUCAAGCCCGGACACACGUGGUGAAGAUGAAGCAAGGAUGGAGGGAAAGCGAGGUGGGGAUGAGGAGUAGUUUAGCCCUGCUCCGGAGUUUACAUACCUGCACGUAGGGUUACUCUCCUGUCUAACAACACUAGCUACACCUGGCUGGGCCACCUACUGUAAGUUUGGUUAGGGCGCCUUGUUAGUGUGCCAGUUAGUGGUUUUCGUUGGGAGAUAGGACAGGUAAGUGGGUGGG
Long non-coding RNA from Gasterosteus aculeatus aculeatus (three-spined stickleback), 514 nucleotides. The record is from Ensembl. NCBI's taxonomy places the organism in Eukaryota, Metazoa, Chordata, Actinopteri, Perciformes, Gasterosteidae.